This 296-nucleotide long non-coding RNA is filed under the name Anser brachyrhynchus (Pink-footed goose). RNAcentral describes it as "lncRNA (ENSABRG00000004442.1)". Lineage: Eukaryota; Metazoa; Chordata; Aves; Anseriformes; Anatidae. The record is from RNAcentral.
CUUGUUACACAGCGUUAGUUUCAACUGAAAUGACAAAAUCAGACUGUGAGGAGAGGAGCCUUUUCUCCAGUGUCUCUCCUGGCUGAGGUCACCGGCUCAGAGGCAUUGAGCAGGUGUUCUGUACCCGCACCUGGACACGGCACUUGUCACCCCGUCGAGGACCACUCACACAUGAACUCUUGCUCUUAUAAAACAGAAAAACUAGACUCCGAUUCUAAGACAAUGCAGAUCUUCACAACCAGGCUGCAUCCAUAUCUUGGCCCAAGAUGAACCAAACCAUCCACACGGAAGCAGGA